Molecule: ribosomal RNA, 292 nt
Filed under: uncultured Acidobacteriota bacterium
Lineage: Bacteria; Pseudomonadati; Acidobacteriota
Description: uncultured Acidobacteria bacterium partial 16S ribosomal RNA
Source: RNAcentral
GGACUACCAGGGUAUCUAAUCCUGUUUGCUACCCACGCUUUCGUGUCUCAGCGUCAGUCGUGGUCCAGUAAGCUGUCUACACCACAGGUGUUCCUCCUGAUAUCUACGCAUUUCACCGCUACACCAGGAAUUCCGCUUACCUCUCCCACACUCGAGCAUUCCAGUCUCCGCCGCACCCUCCCAGUUAAGCCGGGAGAUUUCACGACAGACUUAGAACACCGCCUACACACUCUUUACGCCCAGUAAUUCCGAACAACGCUUGCUGCCUACGUAUUACCGCGGCGGCUGGCAC